Molecule: ribosomal RNA, 479 nt
Filed under: uncultured bacterium
Lineage: Bacteria
Description: SSU rRNA
Rfam family: Bacterial small subunit ribosomal RNA
Source: RNAcentral
AGAACGAACGCUGGCGGCGUGGAUAAGACAUGCAAGUCGAACGGGACAGUUUGGUAGCAAUAUUAAAUUGUUCAGUGGCGAACGGGUGCGUAACACGUGGACAACAUUCCGGAAAGUGGGGAAUAGCCCAGGGAAACUUGGAUUAAUGCCCCAUGUGGUCGAAAGACUAAAGGCGCAAGCCGCUUUCCGAUUGGUCCGCGGCCUAUCAGCUAGUUGGCGGGGUAAUGGCCCACCAAGGCUACGACGGGUAGCUGGUCUUAGAGGACGACCAGCCACACUGGAACUGAGACACGGUCCAGACACCUACGGGUGGCAGCAGUCGAGAAUCUUUCACAAUGGGGGCAACCCUGAUGGAGCGACGCCGCGUGGAGGAUAAGGUCUUCGGAUUGUAAACUCCUGUCAUGCGAGAACAAAGCCUGCAAAGGUCUGAUAGUAUCGCAAGAGGAAGAGACGGCUAACUCUGCGCCAGCAGCCGCGGU